RNAcentral lists this long non-coding RNA (4416 nucleotides) under Triticum aestivum (bread wheat). Its description in RNAcentral is "long non-coding RNA (TAES_LNC007539)". The record is from RNAcentral. Lineage: Eukaryota; Viridiplantae; Streptophyta; Magnoliopsida; Poales; Poaceae.
UGAUAGAUAUACUUGAGAAUUAACUUAUUUGUGUCCAUUCAACAAUAUGAUAAUUAGUCUGCGGCACAUUGAUAAAUAUAUGUAUGUCUUCAUCUUCGGCAUUAGUAGUACCACACUGCUCUGAUUUGGUAGCAUGGGCCUAGGCGGUUAGCCACAGUUUUGGAUCAGCUCAAUCGAAGAACAGUGUCCAGUUGAUUAUUGAACCUACAAAUAGCCGUAGCAAUUCCACUAGAAUUUUGUGUGGUUAAGCCUGGAGUGAGGUACGAUUGUUGACAUGCUAUUGCGUAAUUAUUUAAGUCAGGUUUUUAACUUUUUAUAUAUUCUAAUUGUUGCUUUAUUAUUUAUCAACUGAGGCAUGAUUAUUGUGUGCACUUCUUACUGAAGAUGAUCCUGGUGUUGUUUGUUUGACAAAAGAAAGAGAGGCUCGAUGUGCAUAUUUAUCCUUAUUUUGUUCAAUUAUAAUGGGAUGAAGUUACUUCAUUGACUGAUAGUUGUUGGUAGUGAUAGACAAUAGGCUAUUUACUAGAGCAGUUCAAGCAAGAAUACUUCCAGAAUCCAUCUUGUGAUCUGUUGGUAAAUUAGUAUUGCAGUUACUAAGCCUUUGUGCAUUCCGAUACAGCUCUACUGAAAUGCUGCUUUCUUAUGUCCAUUUUAAAUCCAGUCACUAUGGCUGAGCAGGCAUCAAGUCAAGCAAAGGGGAUUUUAUGGUUGCAGCCGAGACCAGUGCUUAGAAGAAAUUGACAGGACAGAUGAAGUAUCCAUAUAUGAGAUAAAACCAGUGACAAUCCAUCUAAUACCAUGGGUCCACAUGAUGAGAAGGAUAUUUGCAUACCAGGGAAAGCAUCACAUAAGAGGUCAUUUUUCUCAGUUUCAUAGGUAUUACAGAAUUGUCUGGGUCGAACUUUAUGUUAUUCAUAGAAAGAAAUGCAUGAGGCAAAGAUUGUUAUAACACCCAAUAACUGAGAAAAAACACCAGUUCAGGCUUCUAAACUCCACUAUUAGAAAGUAGGACCAUGAGAGCAGAACAAAGAAACUACGUGUCUAUGCUUUUCAAAUGCUUUGCAGCCAUGUUUCCUCCAUGCUUCUACAUGAUAAUUAGGAUGCAGGCAACUGGCAAGUACACUAGCUGAACUUAAAUACUUGAACUACAACUGAAUAUAUGCAUGUCCCACAUCAGGCCAGUGCGAUCGUCGCCUAGCUAGCCGAAUAUGUAUAUGAAACCCUCUUGUUUUUUUAUAAGAGAACUAAAAAUAGCAAUCAGUAUGAAAGCUAUGACGACCUAAAUCUAAUGUGAUUUAUGUGCUUACUUCAUUUCAGUCUGUACCGUGAAAUUCAAGGAACAAUCAAUGUAUCACACCAGAUUUAUUUGUACCUUUUAUCUCACACCAGAUCAAUGUCUCCGUCACCUAGCCCACCGAGUUAACAUGCAAACCUCUUCUUUUAUUAUAGAAAAGGGAAAACAUAUGCAGCAGAUGCUAGCUAAAUUAUGAUCGAUGCAGUUUAAGCUAAUUCAUGUGUUUACGUUGCUUCUCUUCUUAUUGUAAAAUUUAGGGGACGAAAGUUACUCUGUCUGCACCAUGUCAGGAGGGUGCUUUUGGAUGUCGACUUCAUUUAUUUCAUAUGUAAGGUAAGGAUUUAAAGGUCAAACAUCUCAUGCUUGGUUACUUUUCUGUGUAUGUAUGUUCCUUGCAUGGUUUUGAGUUUCGGAGUUAAUGGGGAUUAAAAUUAUACGUUUUUUGGAUUCUGAUUCAGUGAGAUGCUUAAACAAUGAUAAUUUUUACUUUCAAACAAAUUUGAUGCUGACUUGUGAUAUAUUUCUCAGUUUCCUUACCCUUGUGUGUUCAGCUACCUAUUCUACAAGUUUUAUUGUAGGAAACCUCCAUUUAUAUUACUGAGUAGUUUACUCGAUUGAGCAGUUCACUCAAUCGAGGUUCAAGUGUUAGGUUAUCGUGGCGUAUCUUUUAGUUUCUGAAACACACAUUGUUUGGUUCAAAUAGAGAUGUGUAGCAGAGACGUUCAAGCGGAAAAUGGCAAUUACUAACUACUCCCUCCGUCCGGGAAAAGUUGUCUCCAUGGUCUUUUUCUGAAAACACCCCCGGCGAAUUCCCGACAAACCCGCAGCUCCCCGUCGUCUCCCCCGCCCCUCUGUCGUGCUCCCUCGCGCCUCGGCAGCUCGGCUCCUCCGCAGCCCCCCGCAGGUCCCCGCGUCGCCGGAGCUCUCCUGCCCCAAGCCUCCCCCACCCCACGCCUCCCCCGCAGCUUCCCUCUCCUUGUUCCCCUCCUCUUUCCCCGUGGUGAUCCACGGCGAGGAGAAGGCUCGAUUUUUCUUCGAUCUACUCGGCGGCGGCCAUUUCCAAGUCCUCCUCCUCGGCGCUGCGGCGGCGGGGCCGAGCAGAAGAAGUGGAUGCGCGAGUAUGCGGCAAAGGAGGUCACCUUCGGCAUUGGCGCGCACGUCGGCAUGCUGUGGUGCGUUAACGAACUCGCGAACGCCGUCAAGGUCACCAUGUGCGGUGCGAAGGGAGGGGCCGCGGCGGCGGCGCCGUGGUGGAGGCUUCCCGUGGAGGUGCUGCUACUGUGGGCGACGCGCGCAGCGAGGAGCGCGUGGUCGGUGCCCGUCGCCAUCGCGCUGCUCGGGAUCGCCGUGCGGGGCCGCCGGAUGCGGAGGCAGAGCAAGGCCGUGGCGCGCUUGCGGCUUGUCCUUGACGAUAAGGUCAGGCCCUUUGCCCCUUUCAGCCCCAUGCCGCGUCCCAAUCACUUGAUAUUGCCCCGCUGUGCUUGUGCUUGAUGUGAUCUUUGUGCUUCACGGGAAAAAUGUUGAAAUUCAGUUUGCAAAGAAUUGCAUUGAACCUCUCUGCAAAUUCCUGAACUUGACGAACCAGCUCAACAAGCUGCUAUUUUUAGCAUUCCCCUUCCUUUUUUGUGCCUGCAGGACUAUAGUAGGUUUUGAUGCUAGUUCAGUGAUUUAAUUGUUAUAGCUCGCUGCAAUGUGAUGUUCAGUCAUUAGUGCCUGCAGUACCAAAUGUGAUGUUUGAUAUUUGCAACUUGGUCAUAACUCUGAUUAUCCAAACCAACAUCAACAUUUACUCAUCUGCUAACUUAUGCUUCCUCAAUGGUGGGCAGGUCUAGGUUAUUCAGGCCAAUGACAGGUAUUCCUUCAGGAGCUGCUAGCUAACAAAAUUGUCCAUUGUAGUUCAGUGAUUGCACAAAAUGUGUCCAGAAUCUAGCCUAAUUUAUUUACUGUCAAUAUCCUGUGUUGUAAUUCAGAUGUUUACAAAUUCAGUGCCACACUGAAAUUUUGAUCUACCUUCACCAAGUUCAGUAAAUCUUAACUCUUAAUGUCAGAUUGUUAAUUCUGAAACUGUGAUUUCUGGAGUACAUGUGGAGUAGUAGGAUCUGAAGAUUUUGUGUGUCUAGAUGUCGUUGCUGGAGUACAUUAUCUACCAAAAUCACCGCAAUCAAGAGUACACAAAGUCUAGAUAUGCACCAUGUUCCUGUUAAUUCUGAAACACACCCUGUUAGUUGCUACUCCAUCUAACAGUGUUGCCACCAUGUUCUUGUCCUGUUAAUCAAGAGUGCUACUCCAUCUAACUGUCAUGAGGGAUUAUAUAGGGUGAAUUUGCAAUGCAAUGCCAGUACUACACCUGACGAUUUGCAACGCCAGUGUGAAUUUGCAGUGCAAAAAAAUCGUUAGAAAUUAGAGUUUCUCAGAUAAAUUGUGAGAAAAUUAGAGUUUCUCAGAUAUGCCAGCAAGAAAAUUCCUGUUGUUAAAUUUACUGAAAAUUCAGUUAAUUUGGCUUUACUGUAAACUUUACCGAAACUAAAUUCAGUUAACUCCUUACAAUAAUUUGGAAUUUGACCACAAGGAGCAGUCAACAAGAAUGUUCCAAUGAACCAUUUUUUGGAUGACCCAUAAGACUAACUGAAGAAAACCGUAUGUAUAAAGACUGCAACUUUUUGAUUGAAAAUGUUAUUCUCCUGGUCAAGACUACAACAUUUGAUUGAUUGUUUUGAAAAAUAUACUGCUGUCUUGAGGAAUCUGGUGGAACGUUGAUUUGUUUCCAAAAUAAAUUGAUUGAUUGUGCACUGAAAAUAUUUGGAAAUAUACUCCAGACUUGAGGAAUUGGUGGAAUCAUAUUGAUUCUUUCCAAAAUAAAAUUGAUUGAUUGUGCACUGAAAUUAUUUGGAAAUAUACUCCAAUCUCGAGGAACCUGGUGGAAUCAUAUUGAUUGUUUGUUUCCAAAAAUGGAUUGUUAAUUUGCUUCCAGAAAAUGAUUGAUUGUUUGUUUCCAAACAUCUUCAUGCGUCCAGCAGGUAGGCGGCGGCGGAAUGCCUACGAGAGGCGGGGCCGGUGAUUGGAUUCGUAGCAGCAGCAGCAGAGGCGGGGGCGGGGAAAGAGCGUUUGGCUACCAGCUCGGU